CAAGAUCUGAAAGAGGUAGAUCGUGCCAUUGUUUUAUACCCCUGGAAGAUCGGUUGGUGGACAUGCGGAAUAGGAAGAAGAACAGAUAUUAAACAUCACAUUUGAAUACAGCGCAGAAGGGAAAACGGACUGUGUGUUUAUGGGAGCUCACCCUUGCUCCCCUGUGCAGUCGGUCCUUCAUGAUGCCGAUAAACUCCUUGUAGGAGAGCUGAUCAUCAUGAUCAACAUCAAAAAUCUUAAAGAUUGUGUUCACAAGGUGGCGAGUCAGCUUAAGGCCAGUGGCUACAUAAGCAGCUCUUGCAAAUUCAUCUGAUCGAGCAGCAAAAUUAUACAUCUGCAUGGCAAUCGCAAAGUCCUCAAGGUUGUUGAGAAACUGGAAGAAGGAUCUGAACUCAUCAAAGGGUUCUACCUCGAGGGUAAAGUCCUAAAAUCCAGUGUGGGGUAAGAAGAAAAUGUCAAACAGGACAACACACGUUUACAAAAGAAAAGGAAGGUGUUGAACGCAAGCCUCUGGUACUAGAAUAAGAGUCAGUUCUGUGGAACAAAGCGAUCAAGGGUGAAACAAACUGAAAACAACUGAAUCAAACUUUGAAUAUUAACAGAUAUGUGUAAUAAAAGGUAACAUAAAUCAUAAUAAAAGGCGUAUAAAACACUUUUUAAGAUACUAUCUACUUUUGUGAUACUUUUUUGUGAUUGAAAGCUGUACUUAACUUUUUAUCAUGGUAGAAAAUUGUUUGUUGGGUGUGGGUUACAACAGAAACAGAGUUUCUACUAGUACUCUGUUUAAUGAGAUCCACCUUAAGUGAUUCAUGCUGAUAAUGUUAAUCUACAGGACAAAAAUGUCCUGCUGUUAUUCCAGUGACUUCAGCGUGACUUCAAGAUUCUGUUUGUUUUUGAAACACAUUAUCGUCUGGUAUUUGAACUCCUUGAUUAGACACGUACUAAUGUUGGACUUCCUUCAGAUAAUACAUGUGAUUUUGGUGUCUUGUUUUCGCUGUCUCGCCCAUCUGAGGGUCUUUUAAUUAAGUGCGUGAUUACGGACAAACAGAACAAACCACUUUCAUCUCUGAGGUGACUCAACACUUAUGCCUUUGUGACACAUGAGCUGUUCAUAACACCGAGACAGCGUCCAGGUGGUGUUUUUUCUGCCUCUCACUGCUUCACUGUGUGAUGCCUCUCUGUCUGCCUUAAAAUCAAAUCGCCUUCACUACAACAUUGUUAGUUUUGUAAUGUUAUUAUAAUUUAAAAAUUUUAAUGUGACUGCAGUUGGUUGCGAAACCAUAAAUUCAGCGUCAACUUUUACCGAAACAUUUCAGUGACUCAACUACAGCUCGGUUUUGUUUUAACAUAUUUUAUAGGAAUCUAAUUUGUGGGGACGGUACAUUUACUAAAUACGACUAUACGUCAUCAUCAAUGUAUUAUUAUUAUUAUUAUUAUUGAAUAAAAACAAAUAGUGCAAAGUCAAGUGAGUAUUUUCUCUCCCAUCUUGGGAGUACCUUUACAUUCUUAGCUUUUGAUGGUCUUUGUUUCCCAAAGACUGGGUCACAACCUUGAGGUGGGUCGCAAGAGACUUUUUUUUGGGUCAUCAAACAUCAUGUUUCCCAGGAGUUUACGAAUAAUGUCUAUUGACUUGGGUCGCAAAGGUUUGUGACCCAGAAAAAAAAAGUUUAGAAAACACUGGUUUCGGGUUCUGCUGCUUUCAGAUACUUCGACCAGCACAGACCCUGAAGAGUCCAGAUCAGUUCUUACCAAGUUAGAUCAUGGUCAUAACAAUCUUAUCAUUCCUGGAAGUGCUGUGGCAGUGGUGAGCUCAUUGUCAACAUACAGACGUAAUGGUUACCACACCCACAAGGCACGAGCCAACACCUGGUGCAUGCAUGUUUCUAUUCGUCCAUCUGUGUGUGUGUGUGUGUGUGUGGACUUUAAGUGCCUUUGAUCAUGUAGGGAAGAAUCAGUCAUGGCAGACGUAAACAGUUACAAUCUUCCUGAUCCUCUCUUGCUGUGACUAAAACUUCAGAGAAGCUCACUGUCAGGUCUCAGUGAAGUCAGUGGGUCAGUGCCUUCCUCAGCAGACAAACAUCCAGGUGAUUAGCUCUUCCCUCCCCUCCCUCCUUCUCUACCUGUCCAUCAGUCUCCUCUUGUCCAGACAAAAGCAAGCAGGUAUAAUGGUGACUAAUCUGUUCUGUAAACACAUGCUCUUUGAAUUCUUCUUCCCCGGCCUCUUCCACUCCAAUCACACAAACACACAAACUAACUUUAUCUCUUUGUUUCCACCUUUCAUUACUUACUUAAAUGCAUCAUUUUUUGUUGGUCUUCAUUUAUUGUUUCAUUUAUCUGAGGGUCUCCUCACCCCCUGCCGGUAAUUCUAACUUCCCCACUCUCUGAGUUUUCCUUGUUUGUCAGUCUGACAGUCUGUCUGAUGAAAGGAUACUCGUCGUAAACACAAGGUCAGACCUAUUUCACUCCACUGUCAUUACCUCUGCUUUAGCUUCCGCUAACACCACAGGCUGUCAUUAGUCAGCCAGCCGGCUGGAGUAAUGAUGGCUGUUAAUGAACUUUUAUCUGCACCAUGAUGUCCACCGAGCAUAGUGGUGGCAGCACAAGAACACUGCAAAGAUUAAAUGAGCGCCAUCAAGAGACUGGCGUUGGUAUAACAUUUGUUUUCCUUUUCUAUGCCUAUUAUUAGUUCUUGAUAAGAGGUUGUGGCGUCACAUAAAAAUUGUCUUUACACCAAGCACCACCAGCCACAUGAACACACAGGUAACAGGCACAGAUACACAAACAGAAGCAUAAUGAAAAGACUGAAUGAGAGGCAGAGGUGUAAAACAGAACGGUUCAUACUGUAAGAACAGAUCCUGUAUAAAAAGGUAACACCAGUACUGGUAAAUUAAAUUAAAGGUUUUAUAAUCUUUAAAAGACAUCAACAUACUAAAGGAUAAUUCUAACCAAGAAAAAAUAUAUGAAAUUGUAAAUGAGGAUGAAGAAAAUAUAGAUGGUCAAAACGAUUUGGAUAAAAACCCCAAAAUGGAUCCUUUGAAGGUUCUUUAAGACAGUAGAGCGCUAACAGAAAUCU
Molecule: long non-coding RNA, 3073 nt
Organism: Cynoglossus semilaevis (tongue sole)
Lineage: Eukaryota; Metazoa; Chordata; Actinopteri; Pleuronectiformes; Cynoglossidae
Exons: 4
Source: RefSeq, a predicted model, not a curated record